GUGCUCGCUUUGGCAGCACGGAUACUAAAAUUGGAACGAUACAGAGAAGAUUAGUGUGGCCCCUGUGCAAGGAUGACACACAAAUUCAUGAAGCAUUUCAAAUUUUU
Molecule: small nuclear RNA, 107 nt
Organism: Grammomys surdaster
Lineage: Eukaryota; Metazoa; Chordata; Mammalia; Rodentia; Muridae
Source: RefSeq, a predicted model, not a curated record